Long non-coding RNA from Oryzias melastigma (Indian medaka), 793 nucleotides. RefSeq lists it as uncharacterized. NCBI's taxonomy places the organism in Eukaryota, Metazoa, Chordata, Actinopteri, Beloniformes, Adrianichthyidae. The record is from RefSeq and is a predicted model, not a curated record. The transcript is spliced from 4 exons.
CCACGACAGUGAAGACACUUACUUCUGGUAGUUAUUAGUUGGCGCCAGUGUUCGGCAGUGGAGCCAUCAGUGUGUGUGGGACUGUGACUGUAAAACGCUUUGGACUUCUGAGGAAGAGACAUCUGAACCAAGAACAGCUUAAGUCUAAAGGCAAUGGGUUACUAAAACGACCCAUUACCCUUACCCUGGAGCUGGAGGAAGAAAACACGCUGAUCUUUCGUUGGAGCAUAAGGUGUCUGAUGUGAAGUCUCCAUGCGUGCGAGCAGAAGCGCAGAGACACACAUCACAGCGGGGACACAUUCGACUCUUAGAUCCUUGCCUGUGCAGAAUCACUCUGUAGGACGGCUGUUGUCAAUCACACAUAAAGGAAAAAGAGGGGAAAAGUCUGUCUCCCUGUUCGCCGUACAGCUGUCACUCAUCACCUCCUUCCUCUUCGUCAGCUUUGCCCCGACUUACACGAAUUUCUCGAAAGCCGUUAUGGAAAUUCUGCCUCUUGUUUUGACAUAUGAAUAAUUGUGUGCCACAUAAAGUAUUGUUUACAACCACGAAAACCUCUUUUUGACUGAUACAGAGCUCUGGCAGGGGGGCAAAUCCCAUCCAUAACUGCCUGAAAAUGUGCAAUGCAGAUAAAAUGGUGAUGGUCAACUGGUGUGUUUUUUGGGGGAGAAACUGACGAUGGAGCGCCCGCAGUUUGUCACAUUUUGCUGAUUCAUUUCUCAAGAAAGUGUGUGUACCAAAAAGAGGUGACCAGCGACAUUUUUCUUGUCUUGCACAGCUAAUACCAAAACACCUG